GGAGAGGUACCGAAGUGGUUGUAACGGGACUGACUCGAAAUCAGUUUGGGGUUUUGUGCCUCACGUGGGUUCGAAUCCCACUCUCUCCGCCA
RNAcentral lists this transfer RNA (92 nucleotides) under Clostridia bacterium. RNAcentral's name for it is "tRNA-Ser". It matches the Rfam family "tRNA". Rfam says of the family: Transfer RNA (tRNA) molecules are approximately 80 nucleotides in length. Their secondary structure includes four short double-helical elements and three loops (D, anti-codon, and T loops). Lineage: Bacteria; Bacillati; Bacillota; Clostridia. The record is from RNAcentral.